Suricata suricatta (meerkat) is the source of this 1292-nucleotide long non-coding RNA. RefSeq lists it as uncharacterized. The transcript has 2 exons. NCBI's taxonomy places the organism in Eukaryota, Metazoa, Chordata, Mammalia, Carnivora, Herpestidae. The record is from RefSeq and is a predicted model, not a curated record.
GUCGGAUCCGCCGGCGCAGGCAGGGACGGCGCUCGCCCGGGGAGGGCUCAGGAAACAGCGGCCGCCAUCAUGGCCCCUGAGCCGUGGGCGGCGGUUACUGAGGCUUUCAGAGCGAAGUGGCCUAAAACGGCAGUGCGCUGGGGUCGGAGCCCUGGACCCUCUGCUCAGCCAGCGACCGGCUGCUCUGUCUCCAGCGGGCGGCGUUUUCAGCCUGAAGGACGCCGAGAGGAUAAACUGCAGGAUUUCUCCCCAGCAACUGAGAAUCCCCCGGUUAUCUUCACGCCUUCCUGCCGCGUACCGGACACCAGGUUGUCAAGGACGGAGUGUCUACGUCCCCUCCAGAUUCAUAGGCUGAAGCCCUAACCCCAGGGCGAUGGUACUUGGAGGGGGGUUUUGGGGGGACAGUUGGCUCUGCAUGAGGUGCAAGGGUGACCACGGUAGGAUAAGUGCUCUUAGAGGAAGAGGAGACACAAGUUUCCCCUCCAAGGGGACGGCCCUCUCCGAGGUGGGAGGAGGGCUCUCACCAGGAACCAAACCUGUCUGUGCCUUGAACUUGAACUUCCCAGGCUCAAGAACUAUGAGAAAUUAAUUUCAGUUGCUUGAACCACGUCGCUUUGUGGCAGCAGCCCACGCUGAUGGACACGUUUCUCUGUCUUAUGAACGCAGCCUUAUUGUUUUUGACAGAGAAGGGCUGCAAAAAAUCUGAGCAGCACAGAACAAAGGCGAUAAGGAAAAAUCGUUCCAGACCCCACUACUCAGAGACUGUCACCGAGGUCAAUUCGCCAGACAUUCUUCCAGGCACCCCUCUGGGCUUCCGUACAUGAUACCGGUUUGAUAGCAUUUUAGAUAAAUCACCUCAUCUUGGAAUAAAGAACCGCCCACCAGGGAGCUACGAGGGGACAGUGUCCUCCCACGGGGCCGAGGCGGCAAGUCUGACAUCACGGUGGUGAGGGCUGGUUCUUCCCGGAGGUUCUGAGGGGGCUCUCUCAUCCCUCCCCCAGCUUCGAGUGGCUUCUGACAACGACUCUGUCUCCUCCUCACGUGAUGUCUCCCCUGUGUGUUCUUACACGGACACACGUCAUUGGUUAGGACCCUCCCUGAUCCAGGAUGACCUCACUGUAACUAAGGUCCGAUGACCCUAUUUGUAAACAAUGUCACACUCAUAAGGACCAGACAGACGUGAGCUUUUUGUUGAGGGGGGGAUGACUUUCAACCCAGUAUCCCUGGGCGUCUCUUUAUGUAAAUAAACCUAGGCACCCAUUUUAUUAAAGACAGGAUAACAUUUCAGUGGA